This 379-nucleotide ribosomal RNA is filed under the name uncultured Methanomassiliicoccus sp. RNAcentral describes it as "bacterial SSU rRNA". It matches the Rfam family "Archaeal small subunit ribosomal RNA", at positions 350 to 730 of the family's 1478-position model. Lineage: Archaea; Methanobacteriati; Thermoplasmatota; Thermoplasmata; Methanomassiliicoccales; Methanomassiliicoccaceae. The record is from RNAcentral.
UUACAAUGCGGGAAACCGUGAUAAGGGAAUCUCGAGUGCCAGCAUAUAAUGUUGGCUGUCCAGAUGCCUAAAAAGCAUCUGUUAGCAAGGGCCGGGCAAGACCGGUGCCAGCCGCCGCGGUAACACCCGCGCCCCAAGUGGUGGUCGAUAUUAUUGAGCCUAAAACGUCCGUAGCCGGUCUUCUAAAUCCUUGGGUAAAUCGGGCAGCUUAACUGUCCGAAGUCCGGGGAGACUGGGAGACUUGGGACCGGGAGAGGUCAGAGGUACUUCUGGGGUAGGGGUAAAAUCCUGUAAUCCUGGAAGGACCACCGGUGGCGAAGGCGUCUGACUAGAACGGAUCCGACGGUGAGGGACGAAGCCCUGGGGCGCAAACGGGAUU